RNAcentral lists this long non-coding RNA (586 nucleotides) under Piliocolobus tephrosceles (Ugandan red Colobus). RNAcentral's name for it is "lncRNA (ENSPTEG00000009205.1)". The record is from RNAcentral. Lineage: Eukaryota; Metazoa; Chordata; Mammalia; Primates; Cercopithecidae.
GCGGUGCGUGUCCCGGAAGUGACGCACGGCCAAGGCCGGGCGGCCGCCCUGCCCCCGCUUCCUUUCACGCUGUCGCUGCCCGUAGGUGGUUGUGGCCACUGUGCCCAGAGGGAGGCGGCGGUGGCCAGUAAUGCCUGGGAAACUCCUCUGGGGGGACAUUAUGGAGCUGGAAGCACCCUUGGCGGAGUCCGAGAGCCAGAAGAAGGAGAGGCAAAAGACCUUAACACGUGAACGGAAAGAAGGAGCCUUCUCCAAUUUUCCUAUUUCUGAAGAGACUAGAAAGCUUCUGAAAGAUUUAGAUGAGCGUCCCCGGCGUUGGCGUUGGCGUCAUCGUCCUGGUCUCCGUCCGCCAGGCGCUCCCGCACCCUUGCUGACCCUGCCGCCCGCAGCCCUGGCGCUCCCUGCGGGCCCUGCCGAGGCUGUGCCAGCGCGCGCCCUGAGAGUCGGUGGGCGCCGACUGCGGCCACCGCUUCUGUUGGGCGUGCGUGGUGUGCUUCUGGGCCGAGGAGGAUGGGCCCUUCACGUGCCCCGAGUGCGCCAACGACUGCUGGCAGCACGCCGUGGAGCCUGGCCGGCUCCCGCGUAG